This 67-nucleotide ribosomal RNA is filed under the name Vibrio cyclitrophicus. RNAcentral's name for it is "partial 23S ribosomal RNA". Lineage: Bacteria; Pseudomonadati; Pseudomonadota; Gammaproteobacteria; Vibrionales; Vibrionaceae. The record is from RNAcentral.
GUUGUAUGGUUAAGUGACUAAGCGUACACGGUGGAUGCCUUGGCAGUCAGAGGCGAUGAAAGGCGUA